GGUUAAGCGACUAAGCGUACACGGUGGAUGCCCUGGCAGUCAGAGGCGAUGAAGGACGUGCUAAUCUGCGAAAAGCGCCGGCGAGGUGAUAUGAACCCUUGACCCGGCGAUGUCCGAAUGGGGAAACCCAGUGCAAUCCGUUGCACUAUCGUUAACUGAAUACAUAGGUUAACGAGGCGAACCGGGGGAACUGAAACAUCUAAGUACCCCGAGGAAAAGAAAUCAACCGAGAUUCCCCCAGUAGCGGCGAGCGAACGGGGAGCAGCCCGGAGUCUGAAUCAGCUUGUGUGUUAGUGGAACGGUCUGGAAAGUCCGACGGUACAGGGUGAUAGUCCCGUACACGAAAAUGCACAGGUUGUGAACUCGAAGAGUAGGGCGGGACACGUGGUAUCCUGUCUGAAUAUGGGGGGACCAUCCUCCAAGGCUAAAUACUCCUGACUGACCGAUAGUGAACCAGUACCGUGAGGGAAAGGCGAAAAGAACCCCGGCGAGGGGAGUGAAAAAGAACCUGAAACCGUGUACGUACAAGCAGUGGGAGCCUCUUUAUGGGGUGACUGCGUACCUUUUGUAUAAUGGGUCAGCGACUUAUAUUCUGUAGCAAGGUUAACCGUAUAGGGGAGCCGAAGGGAAACCGAGUCUUAACUGGGCGUUAAGUUGCAGGGUAUAGACCCGAAACCCGGUGAUCUAGCCAUGGGCAGGUUGAAGGUUGGGUAACACUAACUGGAGGACCGAACCGACUAAUGUUGAAAAAUUAGCGGAUGACCUGUGGCUGGGGGUGAAAGGCCAAUCAAACCGGGAGAUAGCUGGUUCUCCCCGAAAGCUAUUUAGGUAGCGCCUCGUGAAUUCAUCUUCGGGGGUAGAGCACUGUUUCGGCUAGGGGGCCAUCCCGGCUUACCAACCCGAUGCAAACUACGAAUACCGAAGAAUGUUAUCACGGGAGACACACGGCGGGUGCUAACGUCCGUCGUGAAGAGGGAAACAACCCAGACCGCCAGCUAAGGUCCCAAAGUCAUGGUUAAGUGGGAAACGAUGUGGGAAGGCACAGACAGCCAGGAUGUUGGCUUAGAAGCAGCCAUCAUUUAAAGAAAGCGUAAUAGCUCACUGGUCGAGUCGGCCUGCGCGGAAGAUGUAACGGGGCUAAACCAUGCACCGAAGCUGCGGCAGCGACACUAUGUGUUGUUGGGUAGGGGAGCGUUCUGUAAGCCGUUGAAGGUGUGCUGUGAGGCAUGCUGGAGGUAUCAGAAGUGCGAAUGCUGACAUAAGUAACGAUAAAGCGGGUGAAAAGCCCGCUCGCCGGAAGACCAAGGGUUCCUGUCCAACGUUAAUCGGGGCAGGGUGAGUCGACCCCUAAGGCGAGGCCGAAAGGCGUAGUCGAUGGGAAACAGGUUAAUAUUCCUGUACUUGGUGUUACUGCGAAGGGGGGACGGAGAAGGCUAUGUCAGCCGGGCGACGGUUGUCCCGGUUUAAGCAUGUAGGCGGAGGUUCCAGGUAAAUCCGGUACCUUUUAACGCUGAGGUGUGAUGACGAGGCACUACGGUGCUGAAGUGAUAAAUGCCCUGCUUCCAGGAAAAGCCUCUAAGCAUCAGGUAACACGAAAUCGUACCCCAAACCGACACAGGUGGUCAGGUAGAGAAUACCAAGGCGCUUGAGAGAACUCGGGUGAAGGAACUAGGCAAAAUGGUGCCGUAACUUCGGGAGAAGGCACGCUGAUGUGUAGGUGAAGCCCCUGCGGGCGGAGCUGAAAUCAGUCGAAGAUACCAGCUGGCUGCAACUGUUUAUUAAAAACACAGCACUGUGCAAACACGAAAGUGGACGUAUACGGUGUGACGCCUGCCCGGUGCCGGAAGGUUAAUUGAUGGGGUUAGCGGCAACGCGAAGCUCUUGAUCGAAGCCCCGGUAAACGGCGGCCGUAACUAUAACGGUCCUAAGGUAGCGAAAUUCCUUGUCGGGUAAGUUCCGACCUGCACGAAUGGCGUAAUGAUGGCCAGGCUGUCUCCACCCGAGACUCAGUGAAAUUGAACUCGCUGUGAAGAUGCAGUGUACCCGCGGCAAGACGGAAAGACCCCGUGAACCUUUACUAUAGCUUGACACUGAACACUGGUCCUUGAUGUGUAGGAUAGGUGGGAGGCUUUGAAGCGUGGACGCCAGUCUGCGUGGAGCCAACCUUGAAAUACCACCCUUUAAUGGCUGGUGUUCUAACGUAGACCCGUAAUCCGGGUUGCGGACAGUGUCUGGUGGGUAGUUUGACUGGGGCGGUCUCCUCCCAAAGAGUAACGGAGGAGCACGAAGGUUGGCUAAUCCUGGUCGGACAUCAGGAGGUUAGUGCAAUGGCAUAAGCCAGCUUGACUGCGAGCGUGACGGCGCGAGCAGGUGCGAAAGCAGGUCAUAGUGAUCCGGUGGUUCUGAAUGGAAGGGCCAUCGCUCAACGGAUAAAAGGUACUCCGGGGAUAACAGGCUGAUACCGCCCAAGAGUUCAUAUCGACGGCGGUGUUUGGCACCUCGAUGUCGGCUCAUCACAUCCUGGGGCUGAAGUAGGUCCCAAGGGUAUGGCUGUUCGCCAUUUAAAGUGGUACGCGAGCUGGGUUUAGAACGUCGUGAGACAGUUCGGUCCCUAUCUGCCGUGGGCGCUGGAGAAUUGAGGGGGGCUGCUCCUAGUACGAGAGGACCGGAGUGGACGCAUCACUGGUGUUCGGGUUGUCAUGCCAAUGGCACUGCCCGGUAGCUAAAUGCGGAAGAGAUAAGUGCUGAAAGCAUCUAAGCACGAAACUUGCCCCGAGAUGAGUUCUCCCUGAGACUUUAAGUCUCCUGAAGGAACGUUGAAGACGACGACGUUGAUAGGUCGGGUGUGUAAGCGCAGCGAUGCGUUGAGCUAACCGAUACUAAUGAACCGUGAGGCUUAACCUU
RNAcentral lists this ribosomal RNA (2904 nucleotides) under Enterobacter hormaechei. RNAcentral's name for it is "23S ribosomal RNA". It matches the Rfam family "Bacterial large subunit ribosomal RNA". Lineage: Bacteria; Pseudomonadati; Pseudomonadota; Gammaproteobacteria; Enterobacterales; Enterobacteriaceae. The record is from RNAcentral.